Molecule: ribosomal RNA, 253 nt
Filed under: uncultured bacterium
Lineage: Bacteria
Description: partial 16S ribosomal RNA
Rfam family: Bacterial small subunit ribosomal RNA
Source: RNAcentral
UACGAAGGGGGCUAGCGUUGCUCGGAAUCACUGGGCGUAAAGCGCACGUAGGCGGCUUCUUAAGUCAGGGGUGAAAUCCUGGAGCUCAACUCCAGAACUGCCUUUGAUACUGAGGAGCUCGAGUCCGGGAGAGGUGAGUGGAACUCCGAGUGUAGAGGUGAAAUUCGUAGAUAUUCGGAAGAACACCAGUGGCGAAGGCGGCUCACUGGCCCGGUACUGACGCUGAGGAGCGAAAGCGUGGGGAGCGAACAGG